GAUUAAAUGGCUGAAGUUUAGGCGAUAAAUUGUAAAUUUAUAUAUAAGAGUAAUUCUUUUUAAUCA
RNAcentral lists this transfer RNA (66 nucleotides) under Aedes vexans. Its description in RNAcentral is "tRNA-Tyr". It matches the Rfam family "tRNA". Rfam says of the family: Transfer RNA (tRNA) molecules are approximately 80 nucleotides in length. RNAcentral also lists the same sequence under 24 other names. Lineage: Eukaryota; Metazoa; Arthropoda; Insecta; Diptera; Culicidae. The record is from RNAcentral.